RNAcentral lists this ribosomal RNA (512 nucleotides) under uncultured bacterium. RNAcentral's name for it is "partial 16S ribosomal RNA". It matches the Rfam family "Bacterial small subunit ribosomal RNA", at positions 28 to 523 of the family's 1533-position model. The record is from RNAcentral.
GACGAACGCUGGCGGCGUGCCUAAUACAUGCAAGUCGAGCGGAUUGAUGGGAGCUUGCUCCCUGAUAUCAGCGGCGGACGGGUGAGUAACACGUGGGCAACCUGCCUAUCAGACUGGGAUAACUUCGGGAAACCGGAGCUAAUACCGGAUAAUCCCUUUCCUCUCAUGAGGAAAGGCUGAAAGAUGGUUUACGCUAUCACUUAUAGAUGGGCCCGCGGCGCAUUAGCUAGUUGGGGAGGUAACGGCUCACCAAGGCAACGAUGCGUAGCCGACCUGGGAGGGUGAUCGGCCACACUGGGACUGAGACACGGCCCAGACUCCUACGGGAGGCAGCAGUAGGGAAUCUUCCGCAAUGGACGAAAGUCUGACGGAGCAACGCCGCGUGAGUGAUGAAGGUUUUCGGAUCGUAAAACUCUGUUGUUAGGGAAGAACAAGUACGAGAGUAACUGCUCGUACCUUGACGGUACCUAACCAGAAAGCCACGGCUAACUACGUGCCAGCAGCCGCAGUAA